RNAcentral lists this ribosomal RNA (119 nucleotides) under Pteropus alecto (black flying fox). Lineage: Eukaryota; Metazoa; Chordata; Mammalia; Chiroptera; Pteropodidae. The record is from RNAcentral.
GUCUACAGCCAUGCCACUCUGAACGUGCCCCAUCUUGUCUGAUCUUGGAAGCUAAGCAGGGUUGGACCUGGUUAGUACUUAGAUGGAAUACCACCUUGGAAUACCAGGUACUGUAGGCA